RNAcentral lists this ribosomal RNA (492 nucleotides) under uncultured bacterium. RNAcentral's name for it is "partial 16S ribosomal RNA". It matches the Rfam family "Bacterial small subunit ribosomal RNA", at positions 29 to 507 of the family's 1533-position model. The record is from RNAcentral.
AGUGAACGCUGGCGGUAGGCCUAACACAUGCAAGUCGAACGGCAGCACAGUAAGAGCUUGCUCUUACGGGUGGCGAGUGGCGGACGGGUGAGGAAUACAUCGGAAUCUACUUUUUCGUGGGGGAUAACGUAGGGAAACUUACGCUAAUACCGCAUACGACCUACGGGUGAAAGCAGGGGAUCUUCGGACCUUGCGCGAUUGAAUGAGCCGAUGUCGGAUUAGCUAGUUGGCGGGGUAAAGGCCCACCAAGGCGACGAUCCGUAGCUGGUCUGAGAGGAUGAUCAGCCACACUGGAACUGAGACACGGACCAGACGCCUACGGGAGGCAGCAGUGGGGAAUAUUGGACAAUGGGCGCAAGCCUGAUCCAGCCAUACCGCGUGGGUGAAGAAGGCCUUCGGGUUGUAAAGCCCUUUUGUUGGGAAAGAAAAGCAGCAGGUUAAUACCCCGCUGUUCUGACGGUACCCAAAGAAUAAGCACCGGCUAACUUCGUG